RNAcentral lists this transfer RNA (84 nucleotides) under Sphaerosporella brunnea. It matches the Rfam family "tRNA". From Rfam's summary of the family: Transfer RNA (tRNA) molecules are approximately 80 nucleotides in length. Their secondary structure includes four short double-helical elements and three loops (D, anti-codon, and T loops). Further hydrogen bonds mediate the characteristic L-shaped molecular structure. tRNAs have two regions of fundamental functional importance: the anti-codon, which is responsible for specific mRNA codon recognition, and the 3' end, to which the tRNAs corresponding amino acid is attached (by aminoacyl-tRNA synthetases). tRNAs cope with the degeneracy of the genetic code in two manners: having more than one tRNA (with a specific anti-codon) for a particular amino acid; and 'wobble' base-pairing, i.e. permitting non-standard base-pairing at the 3rd anti-codon position. Lineage: Eukaryota; Fungi; Ascomycota; Pezizomycetes; Pezizales; Pyronemataceae. The record is from Rfam by way of RNAcentral.
UCCCCCGUGGCGCAAUUGGCUAGCGCGUCUGACUGUUACGCAUCGGCAAUCAGGAGGUUGGUGGUUCAAGCCCACCCGGAGGAG